CCUACGGGCGGCAGCAGUGGGGAAUAUUGGUCAAUGGGCGCAAGCCUGACCUAGCAAAGUAGCGUGAAGGAUGACUGCCCUACGGUUUGAAAACUUCUUUUAUAAAGGAAUAAAGUGAGGCACGUGUGCCUUUUUGUAUGUACUUUAUGAAUAAGGAUCGGCUAACUCCGUGCCAGCAGCCGCGGUAGUACGGAGGAUCCGAGCGUUAUCCGGGGUUAUUGGGGUUAAAGGGAGCGUAGAUGGGUUGUUAAGUCAGUUGUGAAAGUUUGCGGCUCAACCGUAAAAUUGCAAUUGAUACUGGCAGUCUUGAGUACAGGUGAGGUAGGCGGAAUUCGUGGUGUAGCGGUGAAAUGCUUAGAUAUUACGAAGAACGCCGAUUGCGAAGGCAGCUUACUAAACUGUCACUGACAUUGAUGCUCGAAAGUGUGGGUAUCAAACAGGAUUAGAUACCCCUGUAGUC
This 460-nucleotide ribosomal RNA is filed under the name uncultured bacterium. RNAcentral describes it as "partial 16S ribosomal RNA". It matches the Rfam family "Bacterial small subunit ribosomal RNA", at positions 338 to 795 of the family's 1533-position model. The record is from RNAcentral.